GUCCAGCAUAGCAGGCAGGCAGUGCGCUUUAUUUCAGGAGGAGGCCUGGAUCUUUUGCGCGAACUAGUUUCCACAGCACGUUGGGAAAAUCUGUCUAGAUAUCUCCUGUCAGCCAUGGGAAAGCGCAGAUCUAGAUGUGGAGGAAAUGGAGGACUCAGAACCAAGGAUUUCCAAGUGAUUUCUUCCAAAGCUCAAGACACUAACUCUGUUAAAGCUGGUCUGUUCUAACUGAGACACGGCUGCAGAAGUCAGGAGCCCACUUCCUCCAAGAACAGGAUAUAACCACUAGAGGCACCCAAGAUUAUUUCAGGAUAAAUGAACAUUUUGUGGUUU
RNAcentral lists this long non-coding RNA (333 nucleotides) under Moschus moschiferus (Siberian musk deer). RNAcentral describes it as "lncRNA (ENSMMSG00000006952.1)". The record is from RNAcentral. Lineage: Eukaryota; Metazoa; Chordata; Mammalia; Artiodactyla; Moschidae.